GACGAACGCUGGCGGCGUGCCUAAUACAUGCAAGUAGAACGCUGAAGGAGGAGCUUGCUUCUCCGGAUGAGUUGCGAACGGGUGAGUAACGCGUAGGUAACCUGCCUGGUAGCGGGGGAUAACUAUUGGAAACGAUAGCUAAUACCGCAUAAGAGUAGAUGUUGCAUGACAUUUGCUUAAAAGGUGCAAUUGCAUCACUACCAGAUGGACCUGUGUUGUAUUAGCUAGUUGGUGGGGUAACGGCUCACCAAGGCGACGAUACAUAGCCGACCUGAGAGGGUGAUCGGCCACACUGGGACUGAGACACGGCCCAGACUCCUACGGGAGGCAGCAGUAGGGAAUCUUCGGCAAUGGACGGAAGUCUGACCGAGCAACGCCGCGUGAGUGAAGAAGGUUUUCGGAUCGUAAAGCUCUGUUGUAAGAGAAGAACGAGUGUGAGAGUGGAAAGUUCACA
RNAcentral lists this ribosomal RNA (454 nucleotides) under Streptococcus mitis. RNAcentral's name for it is "bacterial SSU rRNA". It matches the Rfam family "Bacterial small subunit ribosomal RNA", at positions 28 to 468 of the family's 1533-position model. The record is from RNAcentral. Lineage: Bacteria; Bacillati; Bacillota; Bacilli; Lactobacillales; Streptococcaceae.